Molecule: long non-coding RNA, 1250 nt
Organism: Felis catus (domestic cat)
Lineage: Eukaryota; Metazoa; Chordata; Mammalia; Carnivora; Felidae
Exons: 2
Source: RefSeq, a predicted model, not a curated record
UGGCCAGGCGGUCAGCGUUGAAGGGCCGCCCUGCGCCCAUUCGCCUGCUGGUUUCAAGACCCGGGUUGGCUGGGCGGGCAGCGGAACGAGGCGCGCGGGUUGGCUGAAGAGAGGGAAAUUGGGGUGGGGCAGGCGAGAGCCAGCCGCUGAUUGGGUUGGCCUGGUAAAGGCCCUGAGCUCAGACCGGCUGAGCGCUGGGAGGAGGGUGGACCAAAGGCGAGACUCUUGGCCUGCGUGAUUGGCUGGGACACGAGACGUUGAUAGGAUAGGGCGCCCAGGAGAACUGGGGAGAGGAGUUCGGGGUCGGGGCCGCGGAAAGGCGGGAGGCGCCCCGCUGCUUUAGGAGCCCGGCGCGGGGCACGAUGGGACGCCCCCGGGAAGGGGCGGAGCCAUGUUCGGGCUGCGGUUGGGAAAGCGCCGUCACUCCAAGGGGCGUGUCGAGGAGGGUUUCGCGGGCCCUAGCGGGGGAGGCGGGGGAGACCGUUAAAGCCCUGCACCGCGCCCACAGGAAGCUGCUUUCUUGGCCAGGCCUACUUGGUACCAGGCUCUCAGCUGGGAAGGACCUUGAAGACCAUGCAGCUCAACUUCCAGUUUGCAGAUGUGGAAACUGAAGCCCAGAGAGGGUAUGCAACGUGUCCAAGAUUACGCAGCCGGUAUUACAAAUUGGAUCAACACAACCUGAAGUCAGAGGGCAAAGGACCCUGUCAGAGCAGUCCGUGUGGGCCAAGCCCUCCUGGGCACAGAAUAGGAUGGGAGCGGCUCUGAAGGGGACGCAGAAGACACCCUCCACCACCUGUGCCGCAGCAUAAUUCAAGCCAAUUAACUAUUAUACACAAAACUUGUAUAUAUGCUGAAAAUGAAAUUACUUCUUUCUAGAAUUUCUAAUUGUAAAAUGAGAAUACUAAGCAGAUUUCUUCUCAGUCUUUUUGGUGUCCCUACUUUGCUGGUGCCUUAAGCACAUGCCUAGAUGGCCUCAUGGCCGCCCUGCGUGUGGCACCUGGACAAGAGAGCCUCAAGAAACGGGAACUGGCAAGUGUCAGGUUAACUCCUGAAUGCUGACUGAUCCAGAAUGAAUUUAGAAGGACUCUUCGGAUUUUUCUGUUUAGGUCUUAGUCAUUAAGGAAUUCAGAAACUGGAUUUUCUUAGACUCAAAAAAAUCCCAUGAUAGCAAAACUUCUUAUAAUCCUAGUGAAUGAUAGGAAACGUUUAUAAUUUCUUAUUGAAGAGAAUAAAAGAAAUCAGGACAUCAA